Misgurnus anguillicaudatus (oriental weatherfish) is the source of this 2125-nucleotide non-coding RNA. NCBI's taxonomy places the organism in Eukaryota, Metazoa, Chordata, Actinopteri, Cypriniformes, Cobitidae. The record is from RefSeq and is a predicted model, not a curated record.
GAUCUCAUCCGAAAGCUGAUUCCAGCUACAGGUUCAUACUGUUGUAUUCUUUUAUACUGUUUCAUUCGUACUGUUUUAAAUCAUUCAGUGAAUGCAAAGUUAAACCGUCGUGUUUUUCAUCUAGAUUUAAAAGUGUCUACCGUUGAAACACAUCUGAUCUCUUCUGAAAGCUGAUUCCAGCUCCAGGUGGCAUAUUAACUGAAUGCUGAUGCACCUUGUAUUUCGAUUGCUUUGUAUGCUUGAAACAUGUGAAGAAUUGACAAUAAAUAAUCUUUAUCAAGUGUUAUACAUUAAAAAGUGGAUAAGUAACAAAAAUGUCACUCCUGACAGCUGAUAAAUUAAUGUUUUUUUAUAGCACCAUUGAGGCGAGCACUUUUCAAGGCAAGAUUCUUUAUAGAACCUUAUAAAAAGUUUCCAUAUAGUACCAAAAAACGGGUUCUGCUGUGGUUACAUGCUGAGGAACCCUUAUUUGGUACUUUUUAGGAGCAUUUGUCUUAAGAGUGUUGCAUAGGUUCGAAACUUUCAAACUUGAAACCAAAUAGAAGGGUCACACUGUUUUUUUUGUGGAGUGGACAUGAACAAGCUGCAGGCAUUCAAAUGUUAUUUGUAAUUUAUUGUCUUAUUUCAUAUUUAAAAAAUAGCUAUACAACUGGUGUUCCUCAAUUUUAGGGCCUAUUUUGUUUAGUAUAUCAGUUUUGUUCAGUUUUUUAUGUGCAUGCAAAAAGCAAUCAGCAAGCAAAUUAACUGAAGCUUUACCUUCAUGUUCUUUUUGUGUAAGUGAUAACUGUUUCUGUAUGUAUUUUAUGUAUUUGUAUGUUUUUUUACACGUAUAGAGUGAAAUGCACACGGUGAGGAAUGGACCCAGACCUUCAGUGCCAGACCUCUGACCCGUUAACCUCCAUCCCGACAGCCAGCGCCUUCUCCGGCUCCCAUUGCGGUAUCGCUUCUCGGCUUUUUGGACAAGAACAAGUGGACACCGGGGACUACAAGUUUAAAUGGAUUUUUGACCUUCGGAAAUGGAAGCGAGGCUUGCUCCGUCCACUCCGUUCAUCGACUCGGGCGCUUUCCGGGCACAAAUAAGUUUGCGGAGGUGAUACCAGGACGAAUUAAACAGCCUCGACACAGCUGAAGGCGCAAGAAAAUCGUACGAGACAGUUUGGGACGUUAAAAACACCAGAAAACUUUUUUUCCACUACCCUUCAUACUACAGCGGUCGAAAAACCACAGCAACGUCGACACGCCUGGAAGCAUAGCUGUAUUUGUUUAAGACAACGGGUAAAGUAUUUUCUUGAUUACCUAAAUGACUUGCAGUAAGAAAAUAUUUUAAUUUAUAAUGAUAACUCUGUCAUCAUUUAUUCAUCCUCGUGUUGUUUUCAACCUGUAUGCAUUCGUAUUUUGGAGGUGACACGAUGACGACUUAAACAUCAUCGACACAGCUGAAAAAGCGAACGAGACAGAUUGGGAUGUUCAAAACACCUGAAAACUUUUUUUUCACUGUACUACAGCUGUCGAAGAACCACAGCAACGUCGGCAGAUCUGGAAGCAUAGCUGUAUUUGUUUAACUCACAACGACAACGGGUAAGUCAUUGAGCCCUUGUGUUUUUAUUUAUCCACGUUCUAAAAUUGCUAUGCUUUCGUUGUUUCUCGAUUGCUCUGUACAUUUCUUUGUUUCUAUUCCACGUAAAGUUACUUUGUAAUAACGAAACGAUAUAUUGAAAUGCGCUAUUUAAAUCCAUUUGAUUUAAUUUGUUUCACGUUUUUCUCUCUGCACGGUUUAACCGGGCUGGAAACGGAAAAUGGGUAGAUCUCGAAGAAUAUUUGGUUUCAGACCUGGCUUCGUGCGCCUUUCCACCUGGUCACACACAGUAAUGAAAUGGUAGUCGGACGGCCUUCGGGGGCGCCGUCGAUGUGAUCGGUCACAGGAAGAUGCGGCCGUCUGGCCUCUAAGGCUGUUGCUCAUACUUACCUGGCAGGGGAGAUACCAUGAUCAUGAAGGUGGUUCACCCAGGGCGAGGCUCAGCCAUUGCACUCCGGUUGUGCUGACCCUUUGCGAAUUCCCCAAAUGUGGGAAUCUCGACUGCAAAAUUUCUGAUAGUGGGGGACUGCGUUCGCGCUCUCCCCUGGC